Molecule: long non-coding RNA, 1134 nt
Organism: Lontra canadensis (Northern American river otter)
Lineage: Eukaryota; Metazoa; Chordata; Mammalia; Carnivora; Mustelidae
Exons: 3
Source: RefSeq, a predicted model, not a curated record
CCAGCGUCUGGAGGCUAACCCGAGGGAGAGGGAAGGGGCUGGAAGGUGGCAGUUAAAGGACAAGUGUCUCGCGCCUCCCAGGUUCCUGCUUAAAGAGACCUGGCCUGUGGAGAGCCUGGCGGGCUCAGUGAGUGGAGCGAGCCACUCGAUCUUGGGGUGGGGGAAAAGAGCUUCAUCCGCCGAGUUGGUAGAUUCUGGCCGUGUGCUCACGUCCUCACGGACCUCGCGGUUCCGGCGCACUCGGGUAGGAUCAAUUAAUGACUCAGAAAUCUUUGAAGCAUCAUUCAUCUAUUCCCCUACAGGCAAGAAAUCAUGUUGAAUGGGAACUCAUUGUGAGCAGUGUCGGAAAGACUUGAGUGAAUGCUCAUACCUUUAGACACACAGGAGAACUCAGAAUGGAGGGAACACUUAUGAGAGUAAGGAAUAUGGAAAAGGCUUCCUUUCUCUGCAGGAGAAACCCUGUAGUGGAGACCCAGACUUCCUGGGUUUAAACAACACAGAAAAAACCAUCUGACUCCAAAUAUUUUGGACUGGAAAACCAGCACCCAAGAGAAAACCUUCACAUGCAGUGACAGUGGGAAGGCCUUCCAUGAUCAAUCUUACUUCAAAGGACAAAUGACAACUCAUGAUGGAGAAGAAAAAACAUGUGAAAGCAAGGAAGGUGAGACACCCGUUCUUCACGAGUGCAUGAAGAAACUUCCGCUGCUAACGGAUUUAUGAAUGUGAGGAAUGUGGUGAAAAUAUUCCUUGUUGUGCAAACCUUUACAUACGCAUGUUAAUUGACAGGAGAGAAACCCUAUAAAUGUAAGGAAGUGAGAAAGCCUUUGUUACAUCUCCCAAUUUUAAGAGACCUACAAGAUUUGAUACUGAAGAGAGUACCUUUGUAUGUAAGAAUGUGGAAAGAGUUCCUCAUGUCUUAAUCACACUGGAAUAAAGUACUACCAGUGUAAGCAAUGUGGGAAAACCUAUGCUGCAUUCUCAAAACAUACUGAACAUAACUACAAGCUCACACUAUGGAGAAGCCUUUUAAAUGUGACAAACAUAGGAAAGCCUUUACUGCUUCCUCGCGUUUUGUUAAUCCUCUCAACUCACAAUGGAGAGAAACUGAGUGUAGUCUGUGUGUGGGAAAGCAUU